This 822-nucleotide long non-coding RNA is filed under the name Salmo salar (Atlantic salmon). RNAcentral's name for it is "lncRNA (ENSSSAG00000083714.1, ENSSSAG00000108500.1)". Lineage: Eukaryota; Metazoa; Chordata; Actinopteri; Salmoniformes; Salmonidae. The record is from RNAcentral.
UAGGCUGGUAUAGUUGGUAUAGUACUCUAGGCUGGUAUAGUGGAUAUAGUACACUAGGCUGGUAUAGUGGGUAUAGUACACUAGGCUGGUAUAGUGGGUAUAGUACACUGGGCUGGUAUAGUGGGUAUAGUACACUAGGCUGGUAUAAUGGGUAUAGUACACUAGGCUGGUACGGUAAACUAGGCUGGUAUAGUGGGUAUCGUACACUAGGCUGGUAUAGUGGGUAUAGUACACUGGGCUGGUAUAGUAAACUAGGCUGGUAUAGUAAACUAGACUCGUAUAGCACACUAGGCUGGUAUAGUGGUUAUAGUACACUAGGCUGGUAUAGUAAACUAGGCUGGUAUAGUGGGUAUAGUACACUAGGCUGGAAUAGUGGGUAUAGUACACUAGGCUAGUAUAGUGGGUAUAGUACACUAGGCUGGUAUAGUACACUAGGCUGGUUUAGUAAACUAAACUGGUAUAGUACACUAGGCUGGUAUAGUCGGUAUUGUACACUAGGCUGGUAUAGUAUACUAGGCUGGUAUAGUAAACUAUGCUGGUGUAGUAAACUAGGCUGGUAUAGUGGGUAUAGUACACUAGGCUGGUCUAGUGGGUAUAGUACACUAGGCUGGUAUUGUAAACUAGGCUGGUAUAGUGGAUAUAGCACAUUAUGCUUAUAUAGUACACUAGGCUGGUAUUGUGGGUGAAGUACACUGGGCUGGUUUCGUGGGUAUUGUAGACUUGGCUGGUUUAGUGGGUAUAUUACACUAGGUUGGUAUAGUGGGUAUUGUACACUAGGCUGGUAUAGUGGGUAUAGUACACAAGGCUGGUAUAGUACGCUUG